This 964-nucleotide long non-coding RNA is filed under the name Phoenix dactylifera (date palm). Its description in RNAcentral is "long non-coding RNA (PDAC_LNC014678)". Lineage: Eukaryota; Viridiplantae; Streptophyta; Magnoliopsida; Arecales; Arecaceae. The record is from RNAcentral.
UCAGACCAUCUUUUUUACCUGGAGUGUGUGUUGUGCACCUGCUCACAGGCAUGUGUACAUGAAUGUUAUUUGUAUGUAUAUGUAUACAAUUAUGUAUGUAUGUGCAUGAGUACAUAUAUUAGCAUGCCAAAAGUUCUUUUGUCCAAGUUCGAUCAUCUAAUGAGCAGUAUGACCAAGGAAAUUAUGCAGUCUUUUGCAUUGCGAGCUGAGAGAACAGUGAUAUAUGUUGGCACUUUUCAUGCUGGCCUUCACUGAGUAUUAUUGGCUCUUGCAAGAAUAUCCCAAACACAACCCUUUGGGUUGAAGUCCUGUCCAUCCAACCUUGCCAUAUCUUUGCUGGUUUCUAUCAUCCCUCAUUGAGGACCACCUGAUCUAGCCAAAAUUUUUCCAAACCCACCAUACAGAGGUUCCCCUAUCCAACCCAAAUAGUGGCCGUGGUGGUCCAACAAGCCCCCAAGUACAUUGCUGAACAACCUGAACUAUUCUGGGUGAGUGCCCCAACCAAUAGUAGCAUCCACAGUCAGAUUAUGGUAUCAAAGUUGGGUGCCAUUCCUCCAUCCAUGCUUGUUCUUUUGUUCGCAGCCUGUGUUUGUGCUUGGGCCUAUGUUUGCACCCAUUCUUACACAUGCACCUUAUAGACUUUGCUCCUUGUAUGCCCAUGCUCAUGCGUUUUGUGCCCUCAUCUGUCUAAGUCCUUAGUUGCCGUGCCCUCAUGUGCAUGUCAACUUUUGCUUGUGCCCAUGGUGGGUGUCAUCACCCUAUGUUUGUAGUGUGAACUCGUGCUUGCAUACUUGUGCCCCAUACCAUCAUGCACCUACAUUCUUCUUUGCUCAGUGUCUUCAUGCACUUGUCUCCUCAUGCUUAUGCCCAAGCUCAUGCUUGUUCUUUCUUACCAGUGACCCCUGCGGCCUCACCUUGCACCUUCAUGUACUUGUAACCCUUGUUGGUGCCCAUGUUUUCCUCA